UGAAAUUCGUUCAAUCCA
RNAcentral lists this small nuclear RNA (18 nucleotides) under Arabidopsis thaliana (thale cress). RNAcentral describes it as "snRNA_00331". The record is from RNAcentral. Lineage: Eukaryota; Viridiplantae; Streptophyta; Magnoliopsida; Brassicales; Brassicaceae.